Tupaia belangeri chinensis (Chinese tree shrew) is the source of this 3198-nucleotide long non-coding RNA. RefSeq lists it as uncharacterized. The transcript is spliced from 3 exons. NCBI's taxonomy places the organism in Eukaryota, Metazoa, Chordata, Mammalia, Scandentia, Tupaiidae. The record is from RefSeq and is a predicted model, not a curated record.
AGGAGGGAGGAAGAGGAUGUAAAAUUCUCUCUCCUCCUGAACCAAAGCUGCAGUCCACAAGGCCAAGAGCAGCAGAACCCUGCGCCAGCCGAAAGUCCUGCCCUGCUCUUGCAGUGUUCUGAGGGCAAAGGGCAAGAAGAACAUGCUCUUAGCUUACAGGGGAGGAAAGUGACAGAGGAGAGGACAGCAAAGGCUGCACAGAAGUGGAACACAUGGAUUGGAAGAGGCAGUGUUUACAGCUCUUUCAAGAGAAAUUGAUAUGGGUGCAGAAUUGGCAGAAGAAAGAAUGAAAACAGCUCUCUGAAGACCUCACCAGAGCUCAUCUUGCCUGUAAAAGUAGCAUGCCUUUAGACUUGAAAAUCCUUUAAGUUUUAUCUGGUAAAUCAGUAGCUGAUUUUUUACCUGCCACUCAAAGCGCAUGUCCCUGGAUAAUAAGUUAUAAUGAUAAAUUUUGACACCACCACCAUUUACUGAGGACUUAGUCUGUGCAGAUGAAGUACAGAGACAUUAGAAAAAUUCGUGCCUGAGAUCACACAGGCUUACAUGGCAGAGAUGGGACUCAGGGCAGACUCCCAAGAUCACAGUUUUACUACCAUAUAGAGCUUGCCUCUGAGCAGCCAGAAUGCAAGGAAAAGGAGGGGCAUGUGUCAGCUAGAAGCAACGGUGAAAGAAAAGGAGACGCUGGCUUUCACGUGUGGCUGCUGCUUGUUCAGGAUUCUGAUCCUGACUUGUCACAUGAGGUCAGACAUGGAACUUUCCACGUGUGGCUUCACAUCAAUGUUUCAGAUUUUGGAGCAUUCUGGACUUUGAGUUUUUGGAUUAGGGAUGAUCAACCUACGUUAUUAAGCCAUUUUCCAAAUGAGGACACUGAAGCCCUGAGGGAUGCCUGGUUAAUAAGUGCCCUAUUAAACCUGGUGUGCCUAGCUGUUGCUCCACGACCCACCCCUUCAGUGGACCUCAGACGCUUUCAGAGGAGGCCGGUAGAGGAAGGGCAAUGAUGAGAGAAGCAAAAGAUUAAGACCCUACCUAAAAUUGCUUUAGAGGAAAAAAUUGCUUUGGAGGAAAGCAAUCCUGCGACGUGAGAGAUUUCCAAACCACAUAAGGACAUAUCCAGAAUGCAAUUUCAGUGCACUCCAAGGUGCAAAGCACUUGGGAAAAGAAAGCCUGCAGAGUGGGAGUGAAUUCUGUGAGACGUCCUCUGGGCAUUGGGUCCCCAGUGUGAUCUCUAUCCCAGCCAGCAGGAACCUCAGCCUCCCUCUGCCCCCUUCCCCCCCAACUUAGAAAUGCAAAUUGUUUGAUUCCACUCAGAUCUACUGAAUCAAAUCACCACUGGAUAGAAGGAGGUGAUGUCUGAAUUAGAGUUUUUAAACAGAGGAUCCAGUCAUCAAGUAUCAUAAAUGAAUAGCCGGUCUAUUUAACCAAGCUGGAUCCAGAUUCUUAGGAUUAUCCUAAGACUAAGCUGAAAAUGGGGGAUACAAAGACAAAGACCCUCUGCCUUAACGAGGUUAUUUCUGGAAAGGGACCAAUGUGUCUAAGGAAGGAGGCAGAACAAUCCAAAUGCCCAGGUUGAAGGCUCCACCUCUUACCAGUGAUGACGAGGCCUGAGGCCUUUGAUAUCUAAACCCAGAAAGCCUGUACCUUUCUUUCCAUCUAUGUGACUAAUUAGGAGUCUUUCCACCAGCUUCCCUGAAUAGCCUGCCUUCAAUACGCUACUACCUCUCCUGGCUGAGCAAGGCUGGAGGGAAUCCUUAUCCUGGAUGCUGUCCGCUGUGUAGCUCUCCUACCCCCACUCCUGGGGGGCUGACAAGGCAAAAGAAUAGAGAUAUUUUGAAUUCUGGUCUUAAAGGACUAGCAUCUGAUCCAUACUGAGCAGAGAGCAUGGUUUCUAAUAGUGCUAAGCAGGUUGAGGCUCACUCACUUGCCCAAAGGGAAACAAAACAAAACUGAAAACCCAACUACUUACUGGGAGAGUUGGAAAUAAGGCAACAGGCAGAUGCUGCUGCAUCUCUUUUAGAUUAAGAGGCAAAGAUGGCAUUCCCUUGCUUUGGACAGUGCCAGCUACUCGAAAGGGCGGGAGCUAUGAAUUCAGAGGAGCAAGAGGCUGAGAAAGGACUGAGUCUGUGCAGUUCACAAACACAUACACACAUCAGCUAGGGCAAGGCAGCACCAACAGCAAUGAGUGUGGGCUCCUGAAGUGGGGGUUAUAGAGCUUGUGGUUCUAGCAGGAUGAACUAAGUCCUGAAUAUAAGUAACAAGUGUUAAGGGGGCCAAUAAAAUAUGCUGCAGGCAGGAACCAGGGGAAGGUUGAUGACGGCUUGAGCAGGGAGAAAAGACAGAUGAGGGGUACAGGUCUUACAUGAAUUAAUCCUCCAAGAGUAGGAACCAACUAGGUAGAAGUGAUUCGGAGGGGAGAGUUUCAGAAUGGUCAUUGAGGAGGGCAGUAGAGAGAAGAGCAAAGCUUUCAUGUGUGAAAAGAAAGACACCAAAGAUUUCUGAGUAAGUCUUGCCCCUGCAGUGCAGUGGUUAAGUGCUGUGCAUUAGAAGUCUGAUUCCACUUGGUCGACCACUGUUCAAAUACUGUCCCCAAAGUCUUGAAGAACAUUUGGGUGUAUAUGCGUGCCCCAAAUUGUGACGAGAUGGAGAAAUGGAGGAAAAAUAAUUAUGGUGUGAGUCUACCCCACUGGAGAGAGGGGGACUGUCUCUCCCUUUCUCUCUGAUGAGUGUAUAUGCCCUUUAGCAAUUAAAAAAAAAAAAUCCUGAGCUGAAGUAAAAGGCAUAUGGGAGUGUUGACAGAAAAAUGAUUAUGCAACCAUACAUAAGAAAAAAUAGAAGUGGGAGACAGAGAAAGAAAAAGUAGCCUAUUGCCAUGGAAGGUCUAGAAGCAGGCAACAUGGUCAGGCUUUGGAAUAAGAAGGAACUGGGUUCAAAUCCAGACUCUGUCACUUAGUGUUGUUUGAUAUUGAAGAAGUCAUUUACUUUCCCUGAAUCUGCAGGUUCUCUGUUAAAUGAGAUGGGAAAAGUUCCUACCACACAAAAUUUAUUAUAUGAAAUAAUAUAGAAAAGAGCCAGCACACAGAAACCACCUAGUGUUAUCUGUCACCAUCCCAUCAUCAUCACAGUCAUGAUGAGUUAGAGUAUAAUAUUGUAAACAGAGAUGCCAGCAGGUGAUGUGGUAGGUAAGGGCACUGGACUCUCACA